UUACUGUGCUUAAAAUUUUAC
Molecule: non-coding RNA, 21 nt
Filed under: Caenorhabditis elegans
Lineage: Eukaryota; Metazoa; Nematoda; Chromadorea; Rhabditida; Rhabditidae
Source: RNAcentral